RNAcentral lists this ribosomal RNA (174 nucleotides) under Acris crepitans (northern cricket frog). Its description in RNAcentral is "partial 16S ribosomal RNA". The record is from RNAcentral. Lineage: Eukaryota; Metazoa; Chordata; Amphibia; Anura; Hylidae.
ACGUGAUCUGAGUUCAGACCGGAGCAAUCCAGGUCAGUUUCUAUCUAUAAAGGACUUUUUCUAGUACGAAAGGACCGAAAAAGUGUGGCCCAUAUAUUAUACAAGCCACAACUAUCAACUUAUGACCGAUACUCAAUAAGCAAAUAACCUAGCAUUUAGCCCUAAACAAGAGCU